CGGCUCCUCUGACUCCCAAAGCCCCGGCUGGGGCCCGGCCAGCCCGAGCCGCGAGGGGAGUAGGGCGCCAGCGCGCCCGCUCGCGCAGCGCCUCGGGCCGCUUGGGCCGCCACCGCGUCCAUGACCGCGACCCCUCGGCGGGGGACACCCGCCCCCGCUCUCCGCAGCCGCCCGCCGUCCGCGCCCGCCGAGUCCAGUGUGAGAAUGGCUAUAACUUUGGAAGAAGCUCCGUGGCUGGGCUGGCUCUUGGUGAAAGCACUGAUGAGGUUUGCCUUCAUGGUCGUCAACAACCUGGUUGCUAUUCCAUCCUACAUCUGCUAUGUAAUUAUACUUCAGCCCCUUCGAGUGCUGGACAGUAAGCGGUUCUGGUAUAUCGAAGGAAUCAUGUAUAAAUGGCUUUUAGGAAUGGUAGCUUCCUGGGGAUGGUAUGCUGGAUAUACAGUGAUGGAAUGGGGAGAAGAUAUUAAAGCAGUUUCAAAAGAUGAAGCAGUGAUGUUGGUGAAUCAUCAGGCAACAGGAGAUGUGUGCACACUGAUGAUGUGCCUCCAGGACAAAGGACUGGUUGUUGCUCAGAUGAUGUGGUUGAUGGAUCAUAUUUUUAAGUACACAAACUUUGGAAUUGUUUCUCUAGUUCAUGGAGACUUCUUUAUAAGACAGGGAAGAUCUUAUCGUGACCAACAGCUGCUGCUUCUCAAGAAGCACUUAGAAAAUAAUUACAGGAGCAGAGAUCGAAAAUGGAUUGUUUUGUUUCCAGAAGGGGGCUUCCUCAGGAAGAGGCGAGAAACAAGUCAGGCAUUUGCCAAGAAAAAUAACUUGCCAUUUCUUACAAAUGUUACUCUGCCAAGGUCUGGGGCAACAAAAAUUAUUUUGAAUGCACUUGUAGCACAACAGAAAAAUGGAAGUCCAGCAGGAGGAGAUGCUAAAGAAUUAGACAGCAAAUCAAAAGGCCUCCAGUGGAUAAUAGAUACAACGAUAGCUUAUCCCAAAGCUGAACCUAUAGAUAUUCAAACCUGGAUCCUUGGAUACAGGAAACCAACAGUCACACAUGUACAUUACAGGAUCUUUCCAAUUAAAGAUGUACCCCUGGAGACUGAUGACCUUACCACUUGGCUCUAUCAGCGGUUUGUUGAAAAAGAAGACCUCUUAUCACAUUUUUAUGAAACAGCUUUUCCACCUUCCAAGGGCCAUAAGGAAGCUGUUUCCAGGGAGAUGACCCUCAGCAACUUGUGGAUAUUUCUCAUACAGUCUUUUGCAUUUUUGUCAGGCUAUAUGUGGUACAACAUCAUUCAGUAUUUUUACCAUUGCCUGUUUUAGGAAUUGACGUGGACUUGUCAAGGUCACCGUAGGAGUUCAGACUUUCUUUCAUAAGUGUGCAUUAUUUUACAUGUGCAAAUCAGAAUAUAUU
RNAcentral lists this long non-coding RNA (1405 nucleotides) under Homo sapiens (human). Its description in RNAcentral is "long non-coding RNA NONHSAT152860.1". The record is from RNAcentral. Lineage: Eukaryota; Metazoa; Chordata; Mammalia; Primates; Hominidae.